RNAcentral lists this ribosomal RNA (445 nucleotides) under uncultured bacterium. Its description in RNAcentral is "SSU rRNA". It matches the Rfam family "Bacterial small subunit ribosomal RNA", at positions 26 to 518 of the family's 1533-position model. The record is from RNAcentral.
AGAGCGAACGCUGGCGGCAUGCUUAACACAUGCAAGUCUCACGGGCAGCAAUGUCAGUGGCGGACGGGUGAGUAACGCGUAGGUAUCUAUCCUUGGGUGGGGGAUAACGUCGGGAAACUGACGCUAAUACCGCAUGACACCUGUGGGUCAAAGGCGCGAGUCGCCUGGGGAGGAGCCUGCGUACGAUUAGCUAGUUGGUGGGGUAAAGGCUUACCAAGGCGACGAUCGUUAGCUGGUCUGAGAGGAUGAUCAGCCACACUGGGACUGAGACACGGCCCAGACUCCUACGGGAGGCAGCAGUGGGGAAUAUUGGACAAUGGGCGAAAGCCUGAUCCAGCAAUGCCGCGUGUGUGAAGAAGGUCUUCGGAUUGUAAAGCACUUUCGGCGGGGACGAUGAUGACGGUACCCGCAGAAGAAGCCCGGCUAACUUCGUGCCAGCAGCCGC